UAAGUAGAUAUAGUUCUAGAUCCACAGAACUAAAAACGUUACAAAUGUACGAAGAAACACGAUGUUUCUUCACUGUUUUUAUCUCGCCUCACACACAACUAUCAAAACACCACCACUAACUAGCACUAAGCAAUAUCACAGCUAUACAUCAAGUGUAGUAUCAAAAAUCACUCAGAUUUACAGAAAUCAUUUUCACUCAGAAAAUCAGUGGUUUGAGAGAAAAAGGAAAAUCCUAGAAUUCACUCAGAAUCGAUCUCUCUGGAAGAAGGAAUGAGGCGUCAAAACGUUUUAAUCAGGUGAGUCAAGGGUCAUUCAUCAACGGUGAGAAGAUGGCCAGAUGUAUGGCCAGAUUAUAUCCACAAAGGAGGCAGAAGUCACAUUUCAAUAGAAUGCGUUUCUCUUUGCAAUUUGGAUCAGAAACAUUUCAGUAAACCCGGCCCAACAGCCUUAAAAGGGCGAAGAGUGUGAGGCACUAUUAUUUGGGCUCAACACAAUUGCAGAAUUGUAUGUAUGUGAAGAAGUUUACAUGUGUGGCUAGAAGGUUAGAACUUUGUUGUCUUUGAAGUUGCAUUGAUGGUUUCUCAAUAGGAUAUGAAUUUGUUUAGAGUGUUUCAAAUCCUUUUUUCCCCCUAUAUUACAAGUUAAUUUUAUUUUCUUCGAAUUUAAAAUACUUUGUUGGUAUUAACAGCCCAGAAAAAUCAAAUUAAUGAUGGGAAAUUAAAUAACACCAAGAACUUUUAACCGAAGGCCCGGAUGUUCACCCAAAAAGUGGCUAUUCACGACGUUGAGCAUCCACCAAAGUGGUUAUCACUCCAAUCUACUAGAAACCAGCAAAAAUUUAUCAG
RNAcentral lists this long non-coding RNA (845 nucleotides) under Olea europaea subsp. europaea. Lineage: Eukaryota; Viridiplantae; Streptophyta; Magnoliopsida; Lamiales; Oleaceae. The record is from RNAcentral.